Molecule: long non-coding RNA, 232 nt
Filed under: Phoenix dactylifera (date palm)
Lineage: Eukaryota; Viridiplantae; Streptophyta; Magnoliopsida; Arecales; Arecaceae
Description: long non-coding RNA (PDAC_LNC017815)
Source: RNAcentral
CUAACCCCCUUAUUCUUUCCUCUGUUUUUUUUUCCUCUCCUCUCCACCACCGCCUCAACCAGCGUUCCACCGCUGCGCCGCCGGCUGCCAUCGGCCGUCGCUCGACCGCCAUCUCUACGACCGCCGCCACCACCAACCACUGGAUCCCCGCCGUUUGAGGUACGGCCUCCCUCCUCGUCCGCCUCUCUCUUUGUAUCCCCUCCCAUUCCCUUCCCGCUUCUUGUUUCACUCU